UAGAGUUUGAUCCUGGCUCACAACGAACGCUGGCGGCACGCCUAACACAUGCUAGUCUAACGCUCCGCAAGGGGAGUGGCAGACGGGUGAAUAACGCUUGGGAACCUUCCCAGUGGUACGGAGUACCCCAAGGAAACUUGGGGUAAUACCGUAUACGCCCGCUAGGGGAAAGAUUUAUCUCCAUUGGAUGGGCCCGCGUCUGAUUAGCUAGUUGGUGGGGUAACGGCCUACCAAGGCGACCAUCCGUAGCUGGUCUGAUAGGAUGAUCAGCCACACUGGGACUGAGACACGGCCCAGACUCCUACGGGAGGCAGCAGUGGGGAAUAUUGGACAAUGGGCGCAAGCCUGAUCCAGCCAUGCCGCGUGAGUGACGAAGGCCUUAGGGUUGUAAAGCUCUUUUGGCGGGGAAGAUAAUGACGGUACCCGCAGAAUAAGCUCCGGCUAACUUCGUGCCAGCAGCCGCGGUAAUACUAAGGGAGCUAGCGUUGUUCGGAAUCACUGGGCGUAAAGCGCACGUAGGCGGACUUGUCAGUCAGGGGUGAAAUCCCGGAGCUCAACUUCGGAACUGCCUCUGAUACAGCAAGUCUUGAGUCCGGAAGAGGUGGGUGGAAUUCCUANUGUAGAGGUGAAAUUCCUAAAUAUUAAGAAAAACCCCGGUGGCAAAGGCGGCCCACUUGUCCGGCACUGACCCUGAGGGCUAAACCCGUGGGGAGCAACCAGGAUAAAUACCCUGGGUUUCCACCCUGUAAAACAAUGAAUUCUACCCGUCACCACCAUUCUUUGUUGGGGCCCGCCUAACCAUUUAUCUUCCCCCUGGGGUAAACGGCCCAAGGUUAAACUCCAAGGAAUUCACCGGG
This 857-nucleotide ribosomal RNA is filed under the name uncultured Alphaproteobacteria bacterium. RNAcentral's name for it is "bacterial SSU rRNA". It matches the Rfam family "Bacterial small subunit ribosomal RNA", at positions 1 to 918 of the family's 1533-position model. Lineage: Bacteria; Pseudomonadati; Pseudomonadota; Alphaproteobacteria. The record is from RNAcentral.